This 424-nucleotide ribosomal RNA is filed under the name uncultured prokaryote. Its description in RNAcentral is "bacterial SSU rRNA". It matches the Rfam family "Bacterial small subunit ribosomal RNA", at positions 355 to 776 of the family's 1533-position model. RNAcentral also lists the same sequence under 1 other name. The record is from RNAcentral.
UGAGGAAUAUUGGUCAAUGGACGCAAGUCUGAACCAGCCAUGCCGCGUGCAGGAAGACGGCUCUAUGAGUUGUAAACUGCUUUUGUAUGAGGGUAAACCCAGAUACGCGUAUCUGGCUGAAAGUAUCAUACGAAUAAGGAUCGGCUAACUCCGUGCCAGCAGCCGCGGUAAUACGGAGGAUUCAAGCGUUAUCCGGAUUUAUUGGGUUUAAAGGGUGCGUAGGCGGUUGAAUAAGUCAGUGGUGAAAUACCGGGGCUCAACUCCGGAACUGCCAUUGAUACUGUUUAGCUAGAGAGUAGUUGCUGUGGGCGGAAUGUAUGGUGUAGCGGUGAAAUGCUUAGAGAUCAUACAGAACACCGAUUGCGAAGGCAGCUCACAAAACUAUAUCUGACGUUGAGGCACGAAAGCGUGGGGAGCAAACAGG